AUUGAACGCUGGCGGCAUGCCUUACACAUGCAAGUCGAACGGUAACAGGUUAAGCUGACGAGUGGCGAACGGGUGAGUAAUAUAUCGGAACGUGCCCAGUCGUGGGGGAUAACGCAGCGAAAGCUGUGCUAAUACCGCAUACGAUCUCUGGAUGAAAGCGGGGGACCUUCGGGCCUCGCGCGAUUGGAGCGGCCGAUAUCAGAUUAGCUAGUUGGUGGGGUAAAGGCCCACCAAGGCGACGAUCUGUAGCUGGUCUGAGAGGACGACCAGCCACACUGGAACUGAGACACGGUCCAGACUCCUACGGGAGGCAGCAGUGGGGAAUUUUGGACAAUGGGCGCAAGCCUGAUCCAGCAAUGCCGCGUGCAGGGAUGAAAGGGCCUUCGGGUUGUAAACUGCUUUGUACGGAGCGAAAAGGUCUCUUCUAAUACAGAGGCCCAGUGACGGUACCGUAAGAAUAAGCACCGGCUAACUACGUGCCAGUAGCCGACGG
Molecule: ribosomal RNA, 493 nt
Filed under: uncultured bacterium
Lineage: Bacteria
Description: bacterial SSU rRNA
Rfam family: Bacterial small subunit ribosomal RNA
Source: RNAcentral